AUACCUUACCUGGCAGGGGAGAUACCGUGAUCAAGAAGGCGGUUCACCCAGGGCGAGGCUCAGCCAUUGCUCAGUGCUGACCCCUGUGAAUUUCCUAAAUGAGGGAAUCUCGACUGCAUAAUUUCUGGUGGUGGGGGACUGCGUUCGCUCUUUCCCCUG
This is a small nuclear RNA of 159 nucleotides. Its record names the gene U1. It matches the Rfam family "U1 spliceosomal RNA". Rfam says of the family: U1 is a small nuclear RNA (snRNA) component of the spliceosome (involved in pre-mRNA splicing). Its 5' end forms complementary base pairs with the 5' splice junction, thus defining the 5' donor site of an intron. The record is from Ensembl.